UUCAGUUUGCUUGCAAACUGGAGAUGGCGACCGGCGCACGGGUGAGUAACACGUAUCCAACCUGCCGAUAACUCGGGGAUAGCCUUUCGAAAGAAAGAUUAAUACCCGAUGGUAUAAUCAGACCGCAUGGUCUUGUUAUUAAAGAAUUUCGGUUAUCGAUGGGGAUGCGUUCCAUUAGGCAGUUGGUGAGGUAACGGCUCACCAAACCUUCGAUGGAUAGGGGUUCUGAGAGGAAGGUCCCCCACAUUGGAACUGAGACACGGUCCAAACUCCUACGGGAGGCAGCAGUGAGGAAUAUUGGUCAAUGGGCGCAGGCCUGAACCAGCCAAGUAGCGUGAAGGAUGACUGCCCUAUGGGUUGUAAACUUCUUUUAUAUGGGAAUAAAGUUUUCCACGUGUGGAAUUUUGUAUGUACCAUAUGAAUAAGGAUCGGCUAACUCCGUGCCAGCAGCCGCGGUAAUACGGAGGAUCCGAGCGUUAUCCGGAUUUAUUGGGUUUAAAGGGAGCGUAGGUGGACAGUUAAGUCAGUUGUGAAAGUUUGCGGCUCAACCGUAAAAUUGCAGUUGAUACUGGCUGUCUUGAGUACAGUAGAGGUGGGCGGAAUUCGUGGUGUAGCGGUGAAAUGCUUAGAUAUCACGAAGAACUCCGAUCGCGAAGGCA
RNAcentral lists this ribosomal RNA (659 nucleotides) under uncultured Bacteroidales bacterium. Its description in RNAcentral is "bacterial SSU rRNA". It matches the Rfam family "Bacterial small subunit ribosomal RNA", at positions 70 to 723 of the family's 1533-position model. The record is from RNAcentral. Lineage: Bacteria; Pseudomonadati; Bacteroidota; Bacteroidia; Bacteroidales.